CCUACGGGAGGCUGCAGUGAGGAAUAUUGGUCAAUGGGCGCGAGCCUGAACCAGCCAAGUAGCGUGAAGGAUGACUGCCCUACGGGUUGUAAACUUCUUUUAUAAAGGAAUCAAGUGAGGCACGUGUGCCUUUUUGUAUGUACUUUAUGAAUAAGGAUCAGCUAACUACGUGCCAGCAGCCGCGGUAAUACGGAGGAUCCGAGCGUUAUCCGGAUUUAUUUGGUUUAAAGGGAUCUUAGAUGGGUUGUUAAGUCAGUUGUGAAAGUUUGCGGCUUAACCGUAAAAUUGCAAUUGAUACUGGCAGCCUUGAGUACAGUUGAGGUAGGCGGAAUUCGUGGUGUAGCGGUGAAAUGCUUAGAUAUCACGAAGAACUCCGAUUGCGAAGGCAGCUUACUAAACUGCCACUGACAUUGAUGCUCGAAAGUGUGGGUAUCAAACAGGAUUAGAUACCCGUGUAGUC
This 460-nucleotide ribosomal RNA is filed under the name uncultured bacterium. RNAcentral describes it as "partial 16S ribosomal RNA". It matches the Rfam family "Bacterial small subunit ribosomal RNA", at positions 338 to 795 of the family's 1533-position model. The record is from RNAcentral.